UACGAAGGGGGCUAGCGUUGUUCGGAUUUACUGGGCGUAAAGCGCUCGUAGGCGGUUCUUUAAGUCAGAGGUGAAAUCCCAAGGCUCAACCUUGGAACUGCCUUUGAUACUGGGGAUCUUGAGUCCGGGAGAGGUGAGUGGAACUGCGAGUGUAGAGGUGAAAUUCGUAGAUAUUCGCAAGAACACCAGUGGCGAAGGCGGCUCACUGGCCCGGUACUGACGUUGAGGUGCGAAAGCGUGGGGAGCAAACAGG
Molecule: ribosomal RNA, 253 nt
Filed under: uncultured bacterium
Lineage: Bacteria
Description: partial 16S ribosomal RNA
Rfam family: Bacterial small subunit ribosomal RNA
Source: RNAcentral